Molecule: ribosomal RNA, 861 nt
Filed under: Vibrio agarivorans
Lineage: Bacteria; Pseudomonadati; Pseudomonadota; Gammaproteobacteria; Vibrionales; Vibrionaceae
Description: bacterial LSU rRNA
Rfam family: Bacterial large subunit ribosomal RNA
Source: RNAcentral
CCCCUAAGUGGUGACUCAGUGGGAAAGGAUGUGGAGUUGCGUAGACAACCAGGAGGUUGGCUUGGAAGCAGCCAUCCUUGAAAGAGUGCGUAAUAGCUCACUGGUCAAGUGAUUCCGCGCCGAUAAUGUAGCGGGGCUUAAGUUAUCCGCCGAAGCUGUGGCAACCUGUGUGGUUGGGUAGGGGAGCGUCGUGUCAGUGGUGAAGCUGCCGGGUGACUGUGUGGUGGAGUUGAUGCGAGUGAGAAUGCAGGCAUGAGUAGCGUGUGACGGGUGGGAAUCCCGUCCGCCGAUUAUCCAAGGGUUCCAGGGUCAAGUUUGUCUGCCCUGGGUGAGUCGGGUCCUAAGGCGAGGCCGACAGGCGUAGUCGAUGGGUAACCAGUUGAUAUUCUGGUACCGGCUUGUCACCGUCCGUGUCGAGGUGUGUGAUGCUAAGCAUGUGAGCUUGUCUUGGGAGUGUUUUUGAUGCUUCUGGGGUGGGUGAGUGUGUGAACCGAUCAUGUAGUAGGCAAGCUGCGGAGGGACGCAGUGAGGUAGCUCAUCCCCGGUGAUGGUUGUCCGGGGCUAAGUGUGUGGACUGUCUGGUAGGUAAAUCCGCUGGGCGUGAAGGUUGAGGCAUGAUGGGGAGCCCACGGUUGUGGGUGAGUGAGUGAUCCUGUACUGUCGAGAAAAGCUUCGUGAGCGAGGUGGCGGGUCCGCCCGUACCCUAAACCGACACUGGUGGAUAGGUAGAGUAUACCGAGGCGAUCGAGUGAAUCGUGGUGAAGGAACUCGGCAAAAUGCCCCCGUAACUUUGGGAUAAGGGGGACCUGAGCUGUCGUGCACCCGUGCGGUGUGGUGGCGGUGAGGGGCGCAGAGUCCAGG